RNAcentral lists this transfer RNA (69 nucleotides) under Sphaerodactylus townsendi. RNAcentral describes it as "tRNA-Ala". The record is from RNAcentral. Lineage: Eukaryota; Metazoa; Chordata; Lepidosauria; Squamata; Sphaerodactylidae.
GUUAUGGAUCAGCGGUAGGGCAUUUGCUUUGCAUGCAAAAGGACUCAGGUUGAAUCCUUUGUGUCUCCA